RNAcentral lists this ribosomal RNA (245 nucleotides) under uncultured Nevskia sp. RNAcentral's name for it is "partial 16S ribosomal RNA". It matches the Rfam family "Bacterial small subunit ribosomal RNA", at positions 524 to 768 of the family's 1533-position model. The record is from RNAcentral. Lineage: Bacteria; Pseudomonadati; Pseudomonadota; Gammaproteobacteria; Nevskiales; Nevskiaceae.
UACAGAGGGUGCUAGCGUUAAUCGGAUUUACUGGGCGUAAAGCGUGCGUAGGCGGUUUGUUAAGUCGGUUGUGAAAGCCCCGGGCUCAACCUGGGAAUUGCAGUCGAUACUGGCAGACUAGAGAACGGUAGAGGGAGGCGGAACUCCGGGUGUAGCGGUGAAAUGCGUAGAUAUCCGGAAGAACACCGAUGGCGAAGGCAACCUCCUGGGCCUGUUCUGACGCUGAGGCACGAAAGCGUGGGUAG